GUUAGCCUACGGGGCGCAGCAGUGGGGAAUAUUGCGCAAUGGGCGAAAGCCUGACGCAGCGACGCCGCGUGAGGGAUGAAGGUCUUCGGAUCGUAAACCUCUGUCAGCAGGGAAGAACGGUCACUGUGCUAAUCAGCAGUGAAUUGACGGUACCUGCAAAGGAAGCAACGGCUAACUCCGUGCCAGCAGCCGCGGUAAUACGGAGGGUGCGAGCGUUAAUCGGAAUUACUGGGCGUAAAGCGCUCGUAGGCGGGAUGUCAAGUCAAGGGUGAAAUCCCCGAGCUCAACG
This 289-nucleotide ribosomal RNA is filed under the name uncultured bacterium. Its description in RNAcentral is "partial 16S ribosomal RNA". It matches the Rfam family "Bacterial small subunit ribosomal RNA", at positions 332 to 614 of the family's 1533-position model. The record is from RNAcentral.